RNAcentral lists this long non-coding RNA (740 nucleotides) under Bos taurus (domestic cattle). Its description in RNAcentral is "long non-coding RNA NONBTAT001109". Lineage: Eukaryota; Metazoa; Chordata; Mammalia; Artiodactyla; Bovidae. The record is from RNAcentral.
GUUAACUACACUAGUAUUCUGGUUUAGUAUUAAUUCUGGAUUAGCAUGCCCUUGUUCUUCCUAAUUUAUCAAACUUGACAUAAAUAUAUUUUCAAUUGCAAGAUAAAGUAUUUCAAUUGCAAAGUAUAUAUAAAUUAUGAUAAUGCACCUAUACUUCAUAUAUUGAAUGGCAAAAGCUACUUAUGCAUAAGUAUUUCAAGUAUUAUAAUAAAGUGUAAAUUCUCUUCUGACAUAUAAUUAUAGAUUUUAAAGAUAUGGGACUGUUUAUUUUCAUGUAAGUCAAUACUUGUUUCUGUUGAACAAUAUAUUUCAUUUAGAAAAGCUUUAUAAAUUGUAUUAAAAGGAAGCAGGAAACAUUUUUUAAUAGAACAGAAAAGACUUCAUUCUUUUUUGACAUCAGAAAUGUUAAAAGUUGAUUCCUAGUAUUUGUUGUACUUUUUUGUAGUAAAUGUUAAAUGUCACAGUUACCACGUGUAGAAUGUAGACUGUCAUCUUGAUAGAUUAUACAGUGAUAUACCUUUUUGUCUGCAGGCAUUUCACCAAUUUAUAUACAGUAUUAUACUAACAAGUGGAAUAUUUGUUUCUUUCUAGAACAACAUAUUUUAUUUCUACUGUGAAGACUUUGUUAUAUCUUAUUUGCUACAAAGUUAUAUACCCUCUGAAACAGAUCAAAUUAUUGCUACUUUGACUUAGCAUUUGCAUCAUAGACAUGAUGUUUCUUUCAUGUUCCCUUCCAAGGG